AACGAACGCUGGCGGCGCGUCUUAAACAUGCAAGUCGAACGGCAGGAAGGGGCUUGCCCCUUCUGAGAGUGGCGGACUGGUGAGUAACACGUGGGUGACAUACCUUUUAGUUGGGGAUAGCUGUUAGAAAUAGUAGGUAAUACCGAAUGUGACCGUACCUGUUAGAGGGGUACGAGGAAAGGAGCUAAGGCUUCGCUAAAAGAAUGGCUCGCGGCCCAUUAUGCUCGUUGGUGAGGUAACGGCCCACCAAGGCGAUGAUGGGUAUCCGGCCUGAGAGGGUGAACGGACACAUUGGGACUGAGAUACGGCCCAGACUUCUACGGGAGGCAGCAGUUAAGAAUAUUCCGCAAUGGACGAAAGUCUGACGGAGCGACGCCGCGUGGAUGAAGAAUGCCGAAAGGUUGUAAAAUCCUUUUAAGCCUGAUGAAUAAGCACAGUAGGGAAUGAUUGUGCGGUGACCGUAGGGCUUGAAUAAGCACCGGCUAAUUACGUG
Molecule: ribosomal RNA, 493 nt
Filed under: uncultured bacterium
Lineage: Bacteria
Description: partial 16S ribosomal RNA
Rfam family: Bacterial small subunit ribosomal RNA
Source: RNAcentral